Molecule: ribosomal RNA, 429 nt
Filed under: Verrucomicrobiota bacterium
Lineage: Bacteria; Pseudomonadati; Verrucomicrobiota
Description: Verrucomicrobia bacterium partial 16S ribosomal RNA
Rfam family: Bacterial small subunit ribosomal RNA
Source: RNAcentral
UAGGGAAUCUUCCGCAAUGGACGAAAGUCUGACGGAGCAACGCCGCGUGAGUGAAGAAGGAUUUCGGUUCGUAAAACUCUGUUGUUAGGGAAGAAAAAAUGUAUAGUAACUAUAUACAAAAGAGACGGUACCUAACCAGAAAGCCACGGCUAACUACGUGCCAGCAGCCGCGGUAAUACGUAGGUGGCAUGCGUUGUCCGGAAUUAUUGGGCGUAAAGCGCGCGCAGGUGGUUUAGAAAGUCUGAUGUGAAAGCCCACGGCUCAACCGUGGAGGGUCAUUGGAAACUAAUAAACUUGAGUGCAGGAGAGAAAAGUGGAAUUCCUAGUGUAGCGGUGAAAUGCGUAGAGAUUAGGAGGAACACCGGUGGCGAAAGCGGCUUUUUGGCCUGCAACUGACACUGAGGCGCGAAAGCGUGGGGAGCAAACAGG